UAAUACGGAGGGUGCAAGCGUUAAUCGGAAUUACUAGGCGUAAAGCGCGCGUAGGCGGCUUGUAAAGUUGGAUGUGAAAGCCCUAGGCUCAACCUGGGAACUGCAUUCAAAACUGGCAGGCUAGAGUACAGUAGAGGUGAGUGGAAUUUCCAGUGUAGCGGUGAAAUGCGUAGAUAUUGGAAGGAACAUCAGUGGCGAAGGCGACUCACUGGGCUGAUACUGACGCUGAGGUGCGAAAGCGUGGGGAGCAAACGGGAUUAGAUACCCCGGUAGUCCACGCUGUAAACGAUGAGAACUAGCUGUUGGGGUGGGAAGACACCUAAGUAGCGAAGCUAACGCAUUAAGUUCUCCGCCUGGGGAGUACGGUCGCAAGAUUA
RNAcentral lists this ribosomal RNA (377 nucleotides) under uncultured Gammaproteobacteria bacterium. RNAcentral describes it as "bacterial SSU rRNA". It matches the Rfam family "Bacterial small subunit ribosomal RNA", at positions 521 to 896 of the family's 1533-position model. The record is from RNAcentral. Lineage: Bacteria; Pseudomonadati; Pseudomonadota; Gammaproteobacteria.